RNAcentral lists this unclassified non-coding RNA (1727 nucleotides) under Sporobolus maritimus. Its description in RNAcentral is "external transcribed spacer". The record is from RNAcentral. Lineage: Eukaryota; Viridiplantae; Streptophyta; Magnoliopsida; Poales; Poaceae.
AGGUAUAUUAGGGGGAGGGGGUUGCUCCGAGAGGACCCUCCACGGUGGGAUGGGAUAAUCAAGGUAUGGAUGUUCUGACCCUAGCACGGGUCCCCCUCGUGUCACAGCCUCGGUUAGGUUGUACGUUCCAAACGUCAGGGUAGCAGAGGCAACCGGACUGGGUUACAGUUGGUAAGAAAAGGUACCAGAUUUGUGGGACGAAUAAUGCAAACGGACUAAACCUGGCCUCGGGUUUGAGCGAGGCUGGGUGGACCGGUAAGGGAAACCUCAAACACUAGUGGGCUGUCCGAUAACGGGAAAGGUCUGUGAGCAGAAUUCGAUCUCAUAUUUCUGGUACCCUCCAGGUUGUGGUCGGGCUAAGAGAAGGUGGCAGAUUUGGAUGCUAUUGACACGGGCCCCCUCGUGUCAUGGCUUCCCGAUGUUCUGUGCGAAACGUAUACCGGGUUGCAGCGGUAUACGAAAAGUUGCCUUGAGGUCAUGACAAUGGCCUCCCGCCCCUGAAAAAGGGGCUCGGGAAUGACCCGGUGUUAUGACCCGAACGUAAUAGCUCCCGAGGCUGCAAGACCGGGUUAGGGCCCUGAACGGAAGGGUGCUAGAUUUGCGGGAUGAAUGAUGGAAACGGACUUAUCCGGCCUCGGGUUUGAGCGAGGCUGGGUAGACCGGUAAGGGAAAACUCAAACACGAGUGGGCUGUCCGAUAAUGGGAAAUGUCCGUGACAAAUUCGAUCUCAUAUUUCGGUACCCAUCCAGGUGUGGUCGGGCUCAGAGAUGGUGGCAGAUUGGGAUAUGCUAUUGACACGGGCCCCUCGUAUCAUGGCGUCCUGAUGUUCUGUCCCAAGCGUAUACCGGGUUGCAGCGGUAUACGAAAAGUUGCCUUGAGGUCAUGACAAUGGCCUCCCCCUCCCCCUCUGAAAAUAGGGGCUCAGGAAUGACAUGACGUUACGUCGUGAACGUAGUGGUUCCUGAGGCUGCAAGACCGGGUUAGGGCCGUGAAUGGAAAGGUGCCAGAUUUGUGGGACGAAUGAUGGAAAUGGACUUGUCCUGGCCUCGGGUUUGAGCAAGGCCAGGUAGCUGGGUAAGGAAAAAUCUCAAACAUGAGUGGGCUGUCCGAUAACGGGAAAUGGCCGUGAACAGAAUUUGAUCACAUAUUUCCGGUAACUAACCAGAUGCGGUCGGGUUAUGAUGUUGCCGUGCUAUGCAGACCUUUGGUCAUCAUCCAUAACGUAGACUGAUCGUGUGCUGCAUGAUUGGAUGCUUGGACAGUUUGAUCAUUGUGACUGCUCGCACAUGAGUUGUGGUGGACUUGUUGCUGCUGGGAGGCCCCCCGUCUUUGCACGGCCGACUCUCUGUGCCCUGUCCUUUCAUUGUUAUGGUCUUUUGGUCCAUGCCACUAAUGAGAGCUUGCAUUAUGCUACCUGUCUAUUGAGAAGUAUGCUUCCAUUCAUCGUGCCUUUAUGUCGCAUUUGUCCAUUGGGCUUGUUGCGUCAGCCAUGUAGCCUUUUGCGGAGUAUCAUUGCUGUAUUGGCUAACUUGUCUGAUACGGUUAAUGAUGCAUCACAAAUUGCUUCUGGUCUUGGAUGCCGCUGAUUUUAUAGGUUCUUGGCUUGUGCUAUGUUCCUGAAAACAGUCCCUCCAGAAACAGGACGGUUGGCUCAGCUUUAAUCAUUGUUCGACCCUCGUGGUCUUGCAUGGUUGGUAGCUGCGUCCAGCUUGUCAAAGAGGAUGUGC